This 117-nucleotide ribosomal RNA is filed under the name Oncorhynchus kisutch (coho salmon). Lineage: Eukaryota; Metazoa; Chordata; Actinopteri; Salmoniformes; Salmonidae. The record is from RNAcentral.
GCUUACGACCACACGGCCUGAGUACGCCUGAUCUCGUCUGAUCUCGGAAGCUAAGCAGGGUCGGGCUGGUUAGUACUUGGAUGGGAGACCGCCUGGGAAUACCAGGUGCUGUAAGCU